This 908-nucleotide long non-coding RNA is filed under the name Vulpes vulpes (red fox). Its description in RNAcentral is "lncRNA (ENSVVUG00000020672.1)". The record is from RNAcentral. Lineage: Eukaryota; Metazoa; Chordata; Mammalia; Carnivora; Canidae.
CUCAGUUGAACUUGAUCCAGUCCAAAGAAGAAGAAACCAAGGCACAGAUAGAGUUUGAGUGACUUGCCAGCAUUUCACAGUUUGGCUUCAAGAUCAGAUUUUCCUAAUGUAGGAAUCUUUCUACUUUACCACGCCCUGCACUACCAGUCCCUGAAGUAGCAUUUUUUUCUCCUAACAGAGUUAGGAAGAAUUUGCCUGUAGAAGAGAUCUCCUUAAACUCAGCAGCAUUACCCAGACCCUCCAGUCUCAGAGCUCUGGCCUCAGCCUACUUGCAGCUAUGGCUAAAUCUCCCCUUGCAGUGCAAAGGCUCUUUUUGCACUUAAUGGCAGGAUAGAGGCUCGGCCUCCCCAGCUCUAAUGUUUCCAUUUCUUGGGGACUUUACAGCUGCCUCAAGGUGGUCCCCCCUCCCCCUGCCCAGUCUCUCUGCUUCAGGAUCCAUUCGUCCUGGUGUGUGAAUCCCUGAAGUAGCAUUUGAAUCCUCUUGAUUCAGCCGGAGCAUCUUGGAAAAGUUGUCUCUCUCUCUUUCUCUCUCUCAUACAUAUAAAAAGCCAGGCCAGGGUCAGGGGAGGAUUCUUUGCCUACUGGGAAAAAUGGAGAGGAGGGAAUGGUCACAGCAAGUCUUUUGGAUUUCCUGGGAAAGCCUGAGAGCCAGAGAAGGAGAAGGGGCCACUGUUGUCAUGCACUCAGCAAUGAUCCCCACCUCAACACUGGCUCUACCAUCACCAUCUUCUCUUUCAGCCACCACCUCUGGGCAUUUUACAGAAUACUGCCCUCAGCAGUACAGCUCCUCUCUGAACUUUUGUUAAAGACUUUGGCUGUGGGGAUCCCCCAGACUUGAUGUACUAAAGGGAUGGCCCUCUCUGCACCAAACCAGAUUAUCAGAUUUCACUUACUCUGCUAAGAUCCAU